This is a long non-coding RNA of Colletes gigas, 828 nucleotides long. RefSeq lists it as uncharacterized. The record is from RefSeq and is a predicted model, not a curated record. Lineage: Eukaryota; Metazoa; Arthropoda; Insecta; Hymenoptera; Colletidae. The transcript is spliced from 5 exons.
CCCAAACAUAAUACAAGAUCGAACAAUAUCUUUUUGUUUUUAUUUAUUUAUUUAUUUAUUUAUUUAUUUAUUUAUUUAUUUAUUAUCAAGAAACUAAACCUCUCUCAGGUUUAUGUAUCCAUAUGAUUUCACGUCAUCUUAUUCCAUCGUUCUGUCGUAAGGAGUGCAUUCUCACAGAAUGUGAUCGCUGGUAUCGUUCACUGUAUCCAGAAAUGCACGCAAAGCUUGUAAUAUGUAAUCUGGCAUCACGCAAGAGAGGAUGUAAGAUCGUAGAGCUUAGCCUGAGCUCUAUAUAGCAGCCAGAUAAGUACGAUGCAAACAGCAAGCUCGAUUGUUUGAAAGAGCAAGGGAAUAGCAGGAUCUGUCGGUUGAACCAUGCAACUAUUAAAACAAAUCAUGCAUGCAGAAAAUGAAACAACAGGAUGUGGCAGAUAACAUUACAGAGGAGCAGUACUGUUCCAUAAUGCCGAACAUGAAGAUUAUUUGAAUUAAAAGAAAGACAACGACGCUCGAUAACAAUAGCGCGACCAUAUCUCUAAAUUCAAGCUCAAUGGGAUCAAAUGGACGCCAAUCAAAGAAUGAAAUAGCGAGAAGGAUCAAAAUUGUGAUUCAUUGGUAUUAAACGAAUGUAAAAUUGAUUUUAUAAAUAAAAAUGUUAGAAUACUUAGGAGAAAGAGUCUUACGAAGCCGAGAGAAUUCGAUUUACAAUUAAUACUUGUUGUUAAAAUGGAUAUGACUGCACAUAUACCUACAUUACAUAUAUGUUUUAGAAUAAUACUGGAAGAUAGAAUUGUUAAAAAUCUGUUACACAACGAUUUAAUUUAUUUA